GACGAACGCUGGCGGCGUGCUUAACACAUGCAAGUCGAACGGAAAGGCCUGCUUUCCCUUGUGGAUUGCGGGUACUCGAGUGGCUAACGGGUGAGUAACACGUGUGUGAUUUGCCCCCAACUUGGGUAUAAGACUGGGAAACUGGGUCUAAUUACCGAUAGGACUGCAGGGUGGUGCAUGUGGUGGAAAACGUUUUUUUAGUGGUUGGGGAUGAGCUCGCGGCCUAUCAGCUUGUUGGUGGGGUUAUGGCCUACCAAGGCGGCGACGGGAAGCCAGCCGGAGAGGGUGGACGCCGACAGUGAGACUGAGAGACGGCCCAGACUCGUAGGAGAGGCAGGAGUUGGGAAUAAAGCACCAAGGGCGGAAGCCUGAUGCAGCGACUGCGCGAGGGGGAUGACGGCCUUCGGGUAGUAAACUCCUUUCGAACGCGAGGAAGGCACCUGGUUGGAAGGGUGGUGACGGUAGUGGAAGAAGAAGCACCGGCUAACUACGUG
This 494-nucleotide ribosomal RNA is filed under the name uncultured bacterium. Its description in RNAcentral is "partial 16S ribosomal RNA". It matches the Rfam family "Bacterial small subunit ribosomal RNA", at positions 28 to 507 of the family's 1533-position model. The record is from RNAcentral.